GGCCGGUUAGCUCAGUCAGCUGAGCGUGGCACUAACAACACCAAAGUCGUGGGUUCGAUUCCCAUUCGGCCC
RNAcentral lists this transfer RNA (72 nucleotides) under Apaloderma vittatum (bar-tailed trogon). It matches the Rfam family "tRNA". From Rfam's summary of the family: Transfer RNA (tRNA) molecules are approximately 80 nucleotides in length. Their secondary structure includes four short double-helical elements and three loops (D, anti-codon, and T loops). Further hydrogen bonds mediate the characteristic L-shaped molecular structure. tRNAs have two regions of fundamental functional importance: the anti-codon, which is responsible for specific mRNA codon recognition, and the 3' end, to which the tRNAs corresponding amino acid is attached (by aminoacyl-tRNA synthetases). tRNAs cope with the degeneracy of the genetic code in two manners: having more than one tRNA (with a specific anti-codon) for a particular amino acid; and 'wobble' base-pairing, i.e. permitting non-standard base-pairing at the 3rd anti-codon position. The record is from Rfam by way of RNAcentral. Lineage: Eukaryota; Metazoa; Chordata; Aves; Trogoniformes; Trogonidae.